UACAUGAGUGGCGAGCGUUAUCCGUAUUUAUUGGGCGUAAAGGAUGUGUAGAUGGUAAAAGAAGUUGUAAUAAACUAUAACAGAUAAUUGGGUCUUUUUACAAAACCUUUUUACUAGAGUUUAUAUAAAGUUUAUAUAAGUUGUAAAUUAGUGAUAAAAUACUUUGAAUUUACAAUUAUUUUCAAUGGCGAAAGCAAUAAACUAAUAUAAACUGACAUUGAGACAUGAAAGUAUGGUUAUCGAAUAGG
This 248-nucleotide ribosomal RNA is filed under the name uncultured bacterium. RNAcentral describes it as "partial 16S ribosomal RNA". It matches the Rfam family "Bacterial small subunit ribosomal RNA", at positions 524 to 776 of the family's 1533-position model. The record is from RNAcentral.